Molecule: non-coding RNA, 229 nt
Filed under: Corchorus capsularis
Lineage: Eukaryota; Viridiplantae; Streptophyta; Magnoliopsida; Malvales; Malvaceae
Source: RNAcentral
GCCGAGCAUGUUAACGCAAGCUUGUGACCCAAGUGGGGGCAAUAUGGUGACGGGACACCCAAUCCCAUGGAGUCAGGUUCUCCUGGUUAUAAGACGCCACGUGUGGCUGGCUUCACAGAGCAGUCGCAAACUCUAACUCCCUGCCACACAUCGGCAAAAUUAGCUGGUGCCCUCUGGGAUCGGCAACCAUGACUCUGUGGGUUGAGAGCUCAACUGGACCAUCACUUUU